GCAGACGGGUGAGUAACGCGUGGGAACAUACCCUUUUCUACGGAAUAGCUCUGGGAAACUGGAAUUAAUACCGUAUACGCCCUACGGGGGAAAGAUUUAUCGGGGAAGGAUUGGCCCGCGUUGGAUUAGCUAGUUGGUGGGGUAAAGGCCUACCAAGGCGACGAUCCAUAGCUGGUCUGAGAGGAUGAUCAGCCACAUUGGGACUGAGACACGGCCCAAACUCCUACGGGAGGCAGCAGUGGGGAAUAUUGGACAAUGGGCGCAAGCUUGAUCCAGCCAUGCCGCGUGAGUGAUGAAGGCCUUAGGGUUGUAAAGCUCUUUCACCGAUGAAGAUAAUGACGGUAGUCGGAGAAGAAGCCCCGGCUAACUUCGUGCCAGCAGCCGCGGUAAUACGAAGGGGGCUAGCGUUGUUCGGAAUUACUGGGCGUAAAGCGCACGUAGGCGGAUAUUUAAGUCAGGGGUGAAAUCCCAGAGCUCAACUCUGGAACUGCCUUUGAUACUGGGUAUCUUGAGUAUGGAAGAGGUAAGUGGAAUUGCGAGUGUAGAGGUGA
Molecule: ribosomal RNA, 551 nt
Filed under: Rhizobium sp.
Lineage: Bacteria; Pseudomonadati; Pseudomonadota; Alphaproteobacteria; Hyphomicrobiales; Rhizobiaceae
Description: bacterial SSU rRNA
Rfam family: Bacterial small subunit ribosomal RNA
Source: RNAcentral